ACUAACUAUAAUAUCUCAUCUUGCUCAUUCCAAUGGAGUCCUCCCAAUCUUAAGUUAAACGCUCUAAUUUUCCCAAGAAUUUUAUUUUCGGUGCUGCAACAUCGGCAUAUCAGGUCGAAGGUGCUUGGAAUGAAGGUGGUAAAGGCAGGAGUAAUUGGGACGUAAUGACUCUACAUUCACGUGAUAGCACUGCCGAUGGUAGAAAUGGGUGUGUUACUCUUGAUCACUAUAACUUGUUCAAGGAAGACGUGGCUUUGAUCAAGAAAGUUGGUUUGGACUCUUAUAGAUUUUCAAUUGCAUGGUCGAGAAUCUUACCAUGUUGUAGACUCUGCGCUGGCAUAAGUAAAGAAUGAAUCAAGUACUAUAACGACCUCAUAGAUGCACUUUUGGCAGAAGGCAUUGAGCCGUGUGCAACUAUCUUCCACUGGGAUAUUCCCCAAUGUUUGGAAGAUGAAUAUGGUGGCUUCUUAGAUCAUCAAGUUGU
This is a long non-coding RNA of Olea europaea var. sylvestris, 484 nucleotides long. RefSeq lists it as uncharacterized. The record is from RefSeq and is a predicted model, not a curated record. NCBI's taxonomy places the organism in Eukaryota, Viridiplantae, Streptophyta, Magnoliopsida, Lamiales, Oleaceae. The transcript has 6 exons.